CAAUGGUGCCUGAGGAGGACAUGGAAGUUCAUCCCCCUGUUCCCAUACCUUCCCUACCCAUGUCUUUCAUCUGGCUGUUCCUGAGUUACAUCCUUUAUAAUAAACUGGGAAUCUGGACCUGGACGUCUUUGGGGGGACACUUAUUCUGCAGCCACAGAGGUUCGACCAGCACUUCACUCCCACCAGCGGUGCGUAAGACUUCCUAUUUUCUCACUUCUUGCCGAGAUUUGGUAUUAUCAGAUUUUACAACAUUCUCAAUCUGAUGGAUAGAAAAUGAUGUUUGCUGACGGUUUUAAUUUGCAUUUCUCUGUUUACAAAUGAACUUGAACAUCUUUUCAUAUUUUUAUCGGCCUUUCAGCUUUCAUUUUUGAAUUACCUGUACCUACCCUUUUAUCUCAUUUUUCUAAUUUUUUUUCACUUAUGUACAAGGGUCUUUAUAAUGUAGAGACUAAUUCUUGGUCAGUGAUCAGUUACAGGUGUCUCAAAAAUCACUUCCCAGAUGAGGCUUAGCUUUAACUUUGUGAGGUUUUUGUUGUACACGAGGUUUUAUGUCAGUGUAGUCACAUUUGUGGAUCUUUCCAUUUACGAUUUGUGGAUUUUUAAAAGUCUUAUUCAUAGGAUUUUUCUUUAGUGUGAUAAGGUAAAGAUAUUCUUUACAAUUAUUACGUUUUAAAUUUUUGCCUUUCCAACAUGGGUCUUGAUCCAUUGGUAUUUAUAUUUGUGGGUGUGAGAAAGAGCUUUCCUUUUAUUUUCGCCUGUCUGUCUUCUGUGUCUGUCUUCACCCGACGAUGGACGGAUCCAGUCUUCUCUCUCCCCUGCCUUCGGCUCUGGCUCCCUGAGGACCCUCCCAUGUGGGAGUGACUUUGGAGGGGGGUCCUGUUCUGGUCACUGUUCAAUCUUCCAUCCUCCCAAAACCAUAAAUAAAUUCCACAGUUUUUAGUAAGUCUUGAUAUCUACUACUGGUCAAAUAUGCCAACUUUUCUUCUUGAAAGUUAUCUUCAUCAUUUGGACUUUUUGUACCUGCGUGUGAAUCACAGCGUCAUCUUGUCAAGUUUUGAGAAACCUUUUUUGGAUUUCAAUGGAAUUUCAGUUAAAUGUAUACGUCAAUUUAGGGAGAAUUGCCAUCUUUAUGACAGCGAGUCUUCUCGCCAGUUAACAUUUAGGUCUGUUUUCUGUAUUUCGAAGCAUUUUCAAAUAUCCUCCUUAAGGUUUUGCUCAAUUUUUUCUUGUUACGUUUAUCCCCAUGUACUUUUUUUUUGUAUCAUAAAUGAAGUUGGAAUUUUGAGUUAUGUUUUCUUACUAUUUGGUGCUGGUGCGUGUGUGCAUUUGCGUGUAGGUGUGUGUCCACGUGUGUUUGUCUGGUAUCCAGCAACCUUAUUGAACUCACUCUCUUUUUAGCUUUAAGAGUUUGUGGUUUCUCUGGGAUUGUCGAUAUACACGGCCCAUCCAGUCAAAGUGUUUGUUUGGGCCCAAUAAAUAACACUCCUCUUUCCUACCCAGCUUCUGAAGUCAAAAUAAGCCAAAAUCCAGCCAGAGGUCAUGCUAUCCUCUCUAUUUGAGGAAAUGCUAUUAGAGAAUACAUGAUACCUACAGACAAGUGAGUUUCCCAGUACGGAACCCCAAAUUAGCAUAUUUGCUCAUCUGAUGGUCGGAUACUGGCCUGUCCCCUUUGUCCACCCAGCCGACCCCACAGCUUAGGAAGAUGGAGAACACACAAUCACUGGGACAGGCCAGCAACUCAGAGCAAAGGAGGAGGAAGGAAAAGCCAGGGAUGAGCAGAGCAUGAGGGGCUCGGUGCAAAAUAAAAAUGCAGAGCUCUCGUUCAGUUCCACAGUCUCCCUCCAACUUGUCAUGGUGUUUAUUUGGUAGCUAUUUAACGUCAUUCUAAGUAUAGAGAAAUUAAAAUUUUAAAUUACUGGCAUGAAUUUUGCCAAUCAUCUUUAUAUUCUACAACUCCGGUUUUCAAGGUAAAUAUAAGAAUGUUGAGCUUGUCCAAGCAAUCAUGGAAGUUACACAAUGUGUAUUUUGUAGCUCUUAGGUGCUUAUGUAUUUCCUUCUUAACAGAAGGGGGAACUUCUGCACACAAUGGACUGUGUGGUUUCUAGUCCACUUCUUGCUGGGUGCACAUUCACCUGACACCUCCGCCCGGGAGCACUGGGAACGAGGAAGGACCCAGAGGAGAGGGAGUUGGGGCCACCCCGUCUUUUCCUCCCUCUGUGUCACGUUUUCAGCUUAAAUGAACCGCUAACACAGGGAAGUAAUGAGAACUCCCAGCAUGAGGGAGGGUUCCUGGGUCCAUGGGUUUUCUCAGGACACGUUGCCUCCUUUCUCUGUUCCAUGAACAGCGUCUCCCAGGUACUGGGUCAUAAAUGGAACACAUUACCUUGAACUCCGGCUGUCACGGGUCCCCCACAUCCUGUGCUCAUGGGCAUCGUGACUGCUCUGUGCAAACAGGAAGGCUAGAACAAGAACAGACACGUGUUCCACCGCCCUAGCAGACAGAAGGCAGGCUCAAAGAGAAGAUCAUAAGAUUUCAAGACAAUGACAGCAGAGCAUCCAAUUGACAGGACUGGUCCCAUGCCCCUGAGAUGGGUCCUGGCUACAGGCCCAGUUCCCCCUCCAACCUCACCUGUCACCUUUGUCACUCAGCCUCUCCGAGAGUCGCUCCAGCUUCAGCCUCAGGCAGACGCAUUGCUUGUAAUUCCCAAAAGCAGGAUUUUAAAACUUACUGUGGAACAAUUGGUAUUGAACAUCAGGAUGUGUUAAGAAGGAAACGUGAUUCCUAAAUUCCGGAAGCCUCAGGAGGAAGAGGCUCGGAAUCCAGGACACAUGCGUGGCCCCCACCCGUGAGGGAAAGAUAGGAGUUCUAGCUGCCGAGACGAAACUUCUGAGUCAUUGUGGACAAAGCCGUACAGUUGAAAAGCACAGGUUUCUAUGAAGCAGCUUUUCCUUCCUGCUGUAGAUUCCAGAAAGGGAGGGAAGGCAGAUCCAACAUGGAAGAGGUCAAAGAGAAGCUGGACCAUCAGGGUGGACAUCGUCCUGGGGGCUGUGUGACUGAGAAAGCCGAUUAACCUCGACGAUGCUCGUUUUCCUGGCUCAUAAAAUGGGGGUGAUGAUAGGUAUGAUAUAACUUUAAAAAGCAACUUGGAGAUCCUGAGCAGUGCACGCCAUCCAGGAAACGACAAAUUUUUGUCCCAGUCUCGGUCCUCACGUACCACCCCUAUAAGUUUCCAGGUCCAAAUAUAUAGAUGUUUUGCCAGACAUUUAUCAUUUGUACAUUGAAAUAACAAACUACUUGCAAGUUGAUUUACCCUCCAAAAGAAGUAGCAUUUCCAACAUUGAGUCAAAGAUACUGAAGAGGCUUUAAAGUUUUCCACAUUAGCCGUCUGUGUCAAGUAACAAUAAGGUGCUUGUUUUUAAGUGAAAAGCCCCAUUCUAUGUGUUUCCCGCUGAGCUGGGUGUUGAUUGUCUGCAGGCAGCCCAGCGACCCUGCCGGCCGCUGUCUGUCCUGCUUUUACAAUCAGUCCUGGGGAGCUUUGAAGCAGCAGAAGAUGCCUCUGAGGGUUUAUCUGAAAGGCCUCGUUGUAGUCCGUCUGGUUGUUUUUAGAGCUGGCUGGAAAAGAGAUCUCUCUAGAUACCGUGCUUAGAAAUCAGUAUGCACGCGUGGUUUCCACUGUCUAAUUAAUUCAAAAUGAUCACGAGAAACUUUGUCCUCUCUACGCAAGGCACAGAGAGAGAACAACUUUUGACCUUUAAUCCCAGUUCCUACCCUGACAAAAGUACCCAAUGGCUUUGAGCGCAUCAUUUCAACCCCCCAGCUUCUGCCGGGUGCUGAGGAGCCUGGGGUCCUAAUUAGUCCUUGAGGGGACUGGAGGGGACGUGAACUGGACAGAUCCUGCCUGGGGGACCAGGACUCUGAAGGGGAGGGCAGAGCUGGCGUGCACCCUGGGGCUGCCCAGAGCUGACCCAAUUUUGCAGCACCAUCCUCUCUGCAAACCAUCAGCCUGUCCUUCAAAAUCUCUUCUUUCUAUCUAGUCACCUUGCUCUUCCAUCGCCGCCCGUGGUGGACAUUGGGGUCACUGAGACGGGCGUGCUCCUAUAUUUUAGAUUUUUCUGGCAUCUGUAGUGUAAACACAGCCCAGGUGGAUCCGAGGUUCGUAGGUUUGAAGAACCAUGAACAGAGGGAAGAUGGAGCAUCUGCUUUCCUACGAGCAACAUGCACAAGGGGGCGGCUUCAGUCUAGGACCCCAACGCUUAACUUGUCAUUUUGCCACCUGUUUUCAGACCCCGUCCAAUUUAGACUCUUGAGAGAUUACUAUUUCUAAAGUUAAACAGUCGAUUAAACAGGAUUUGGUUUAGCCCAUCACAGAUGUUAAAGAUUAAACCAGACCGAGGAGGGAAAACAGCCCACAAUGGAGGCACCCGCCCUCAUUAGGACCUGAGCUGGCACUGCCACGCCAUGCGGGAGCUCUUGACACGUUUCCAGCAGGACUCCCACACACCAGUGGCCGUCCUGGCCACUCCAGGAAGACAGGGACACGGACAGUCCCGUCUUCUUCACCCUUGAUGUCAGGGAGGGUGGCAGUGCUCUCUGAGGACAGCCAUUGUUGGCAGAACCCUGGAUGUGAGAAUUUCAUUGUUCUGCCCUGAGUGGCACUGAGUUACCAGAGCUGGGGGGCACAGGGUAAGGUGGGGCUGACCUGCCCCUGUGCCCGGACAAGGGGCUCUUGGAUCCGCCUGGGUGCUCAAAAAUGGCAGGAGUUAAGAAGGCUCCCAGAGAGCCAUGCACCAGGGACGGCUCUGUGCUGGGAGGGGGACCCCAGCAACCAAGAGCACUGGCUGUGCCUGUGGACCCCCGGUGCCCAGGGUCAGGGUGCUGAGCCACUGUCGACAGCGUGGGACAGAGCACAUCCCUCCAUCCCGAGAACCGCUUCUCCUGUCUUCGACUCACGGAGCCUGUUGGAUUGAAAACAAAAUGCCAGAGAGAGUUCCCAGGUUGCUCCUCCAAGGAGCCAAAGAGAACCCAGAAAUGAGAAGAUGUCAGGGGGCCGGCCUGUGGCUGAGUGGUUAAAAGUUCUGUGUACUCUGCUUCGGCAACCCAGGUAUGCGGGUUUGGAUCCUGGGCUCUGACCCACUCCACUCAUCAGCCAUGAUGUGGAGGCAUCUCAUAUACAAAAUAGAGGAAGAUUGGCACAGAUGUUAGCUCAGGGUAAAUCUUCCUCACCGAAAAAGAAAAGAAAGAGAAGAUGCCAGCAGCAGUGGUCUGGGGCCAGGCUCCCAGAAUCGCGACCUCCUCUGCAUCCAGACCCCCCCAUCCAACAAGGGUGGUGGCCUGGGACAAGGUCACUGCAGAGGAGGAACCUGAGCAGGGACCCUGAUCACCUGCCCAGCUGCCCCUCUCCCAGUGCAUCAAACAAGCAAACUCUUAUUCCUGCUCUUCUGGAUGGAAGGAGCAAAAGCAACCCGAGCCAUAAACAUGAACGUGGAGUGAAGGCUGGCAGAAGCUGUAGGGGGGAAUUCGCUUAUUCCAGGGGUGCACAGACCCGCACAUGCACAGCACCUUGGGUAUCGGUCCAAAGCAGCUCUUCAGGGAGGCUCAUCACAUACCAGCUCCAGCCCCACCCUUCACAGCAGCAUGAAUCCAUCCUAGGCUAGUAUUAGCUCUCACAGAAGAAUGGGGAUUUGGGUGAAAUAGUUUGGGUAGAAAAUGAGAACAAAUGGAGACAGGGUCGUGCAAAUGAUCCAGAGCUAGUUUGUUAGUUACAUGCAAGUCCCUGAAGAAAAAAGAUGUAAUUGCAAGAAUGUCUAAAUUGUUACAAUAUAAAUAAAGGAUUUACGAAAACAUCUUCUUCCUCCCGUGCCCCUGCACAGACUUGUUAAUUUGACCGAGAAGUCAAGCAGGAGAAUUCCAGCAGGGUUUUUAGUGGCUCACGGCUUUUAUGGAAAUUCAACAUAAAAUUUCUCGUCCCCAUUUUCCAUUUUGGCACGUAACUUGCCGCUUAAAUCUCACGUAACACUUGAAGAUAAGUUAAGCUUUGUGCAUAAGGAAGG
Molecule: long non-coding RNA, 6051 nt
Filed under: Equus caballus (horse)
Lineage: Eukaryota; Metazoa; Chordata; Mammalia; Perissodactyla; Equidae
Description: lncRNA (ENSECAG00000051836.1)
Source: RNAcentral